UACGGAGGAUCCGAGCGUUAUCCGGAUUCAUUGGGUUUAAAGGGUGCGUAGGUUGUUUUAUAAGUUAGCGGUGAAAUACCGAUGCUCAACAUCGGGGCUGCCGCUGAUACUGUAGGACUAGAGAUCGGAUGCAGCAGGCGGAAUGUGUAGUGUAGCGGUGAAAUGCAUAGAUAUUACACAGAACACCGAUUGCGAAGGCAGCUUGCUAGGCCGGAUCUGACACUGAUGCAUGAAAGCGUGGGGAUCGAACAGG
RNAcentral lists this ribosomal RNA (253 nucleotides) under uncultured bacterium. Its description in RNAcentral is "partial 16S ribosomal RNA". It matches the Rfam family "Bacterial small subunit ribosomal RNA", at positions 524 to 776 of the family's 1533-position model. The record is from RNAcentral.